GCGCGCAGGCGGUUUCUUAAGUCUGAUGUGAAAGCCCCCGGCUCAACCGGGGAGGGUCAUUGGAAACUGGGGAACUUGAGUGCAGAAGAGGAGAGUGGAAUUCCACGUGUAGCGGUGAAAUGCGUAGAGAUGUGGAGGAACACCAGUGGCGAAGGCGACUCUCUGGUCUGUAACUGACGCUGAGGCGCGAAAGCGUGGGGAGCGAACAGGAUUAGAUACCCUGGUAGUCCACGCCGUAAACGAUGAGUGCUAAGUGUUAGAGGGUUUCCGCCCUUUAGUGCUGCAGCAAACGCAUUAAGCACUCCGCCUGGGGAGUACGGUCGCAA
RNAcentral lists this ribosomal RNA (326 nucleotides) under uncultured bacterium. Its description in RNAcentral is "bacterial SSU rRNA". It matches the Rfam family "Bacterial small subunit ribosomal RNA", at positions 567 to 891 of the family's 1533-position model. The record is from RNAcentral.